GUUGUUCACAGAGACCUCAAACCAGAAAAUCUUCUCUAUGCUGACUUGUCAAUAGAUGCACCUCUUAAGAUAGCGGACUUUGGUCUUUCUAAAAUAAUCGAUGAGCAAGUGACGAUGAAGACAGUAUGUGGGACCCCCGGCUACUGCGCUCCUGAGAUCCUCAGAGGAAACGCUUACGGUCCUGAGGUUGACAUGUGGUCGGUGGGAGUCAUCCUUUAUAUUUUG
Long non-coding RNA from Sinocyclocheilus grahami, 225 nucleotides. RefSeq lists it as uncharacterized. The record is from RefSeq and is a predicted model, not a curated record. Lineage: Eukaryota; Metazoa; Chordata; Actinopteri; Cypriniformes; Cyprinidae. The transcript has 3 exons.